This 465-nucleotide ribosomal RNA is filed under the name uncultured bacterium. RNAcentral describes it as "bacterial SSU rRNA". It matches the Rfam family "Bacterial small subunit ribosomal RNA", at positions 338 to 795 of the family's 1533-position model. The record is from RNAcentral.
CCUACGGGCUGCAGCAGUGGGGAAUAUCGCACAAUGGGCGCAAGCCUGAUGCAGCCAUGCUGCGUGUAUGGAGAAGGCCUUCGGGUUGUAAAGUACUUUCAGCGGGGAGGAAGGUGUUGUGGUUAAUAACCACAACAAUUGACGUUACCCGCAGAAGAAGCACCGGCUAACUCCGUGCCAGCAGCCGCGGUAAUACGGAGGGUGCAAGCGUUAAUCGGAAUUACUGGGCGUAAAGCGCACGCAGGCGGUCUGUCAAGUCGGAUGUGAAAUCCCCGGGCUCAACCUGGGAACUGCAUUCGAAACUGGCAGGCUAGAGUCUUGUAGAGGGGGGUUGAAUUCCAGGUGUAGCGGUGAAAUGCGUAGAGAUCUGGAGGAAUACCGGUGGCGAAGGCGGCCCCCUGGACAAAGACUGACGCUCAGGUGCGAAAGCGUGGGGAGCAAACAGGAUUAGAUACCCUCGUAGUC